CUCUGUGGAUUCAGUCGGUAGAACUUGGCGGACUGUUAAUCCGUAUGUCACUGGUUCGAGUCCAGUGGGAGGCC
RNAcentral lists this transfer RNA (74 nucleotides) under Salmonella enterica subsp. enterica. Its description in RNAcentral is "tRNA-Asn". It matches the Rfam family "tRNA". Rfam says of the family: Transfer RNA (tRNA) molecules are approximately 80 nucleotides in length. Lineage: Bacteria; Pseudomonadati; Pseudomonadota; Gammaproteobacteria; Enterobacterales; Enterobacteriaceae. The record is from RNAcentral.